This 777-nucleotide ribosomal RNA is filed under the name uncultured bacterium. Its description in RNAcentral is "bacterial SSU rRNA". It matches the Rfam family "Bacterial small subunit ribosomal RNA", at positions 613 to 1391 of the family's 1533-position model. The record is from RNAcentral.
CCUGGGAACUGCGUUNUGAACUGGGUGACUAGAGUGUGUCAGAGGGAGGUAGAAUUCCACGUGUAGCAGUGAAAUGCGUAGAGAUGUGGAGGAAUACCGAUGGCGAAGGCANCCUCCUGGGAUAACACUGACGUUCAUGCCCGAAAGCGUGGGUAGCAAACAGGAUUAGAUACCCUGGUAGUCCACGCCCUAAACGAUGUCGAUUAGCUGUUGGGCAGCAUGACUGCUUAGUAACGAAGCUAACGCGUGAAAUCGACCGCCUGGGGAGUACGGUCGCAAGAUUAAAACUCAAAGGAAUUGACGGGGACCCGCACAAGCGGUGGAUGAUGUGGAUUAAUUCGAUGCAACGCGAAGAACCUUACCUGGUCUAGACAUGUACGGAACCCUCCAGAGACGGAGGGGUGCCUUCGGGAGCCGUAACACAGGUGCUGCAUGGCUGUCGUCAACUCGUGUCGUGAGAUGUUGGGUUAAGUCCCGCAACGAGCGCAACCCUUGUCAUUAGUUGCCAUCAUUAAGUUGGGCACUCUAAUGAGACUGCCGGUGACAAGCCGGAGGAAGGUGGGGAUGACGUCAAGUCCUCAUGGCCCUUAUGACCAGGGCUUCACACGUCAUACAAUGGUCGGUACAGAGGGUAGCCAAGCCGCGAGGUGGAGCCAAUCUCACAAAACCGAUCGUAGUCCGGAUUGCACUCUGCAACUCGAGUGCAUGAAGUCGGAAUCGCUAGUAAUCGCAGGUCAGCAUACUGCGGUGAAUACGUUCCCGGGUCUUGUACACACC